This 376-nucleotide unclassified non-coding RNA is filed under the name uncultured bacterium. RNAcentral's name for it is "contains 16S-23S intergenic spacer region". The record is from RNAcentral.
UCCGACUUUCAUCGGCAGUCUCGCUAGAGUGCCCACCCGAAGUGCUGGCAACUAGCGAUAAGGGUUGCGCUCGUUGCGGGACUGAACCCAACAUCUCACGACACGAGCUGACGACAACCAUGCACCACCUGUGCACCGGCCCCGAAGGGCUGCCGUAUUUCUACGGCAUUCCAGUGCAUGUCAAGCCUUGGUAAGGUUCUUCGCGUUGCGUCGAAUUGAACCACAUGCUCCGCUGCUUGUGCGGGCCCCCGUCAAUUCCUUUGAGUUUUAGCCAUGCGGCCGUACUCCCCAGGCGGGACACUUACUGCGUUAGCGACGGCACCGAGGGGGUCGCUCCCCCCGACGCCUAGUGUCCAUCGUUUACGGCGUGGACUAC